CCUCCAGAGUUAGACAAAGGAAUAUCAGAGAUGUGCUUAGAAAGUAUUUCAAAUUACACAUUCAAAGAAUCUUAAACAAAAGUUGAGAAAGUUUGGUAUGUCCUUUCUCGAUAGGGAACAAGCUUUUUGCCUGGGAACCAAGUUACUAAGGUUAGGAUUUCAGAGUUUAUCCUUCAAAGGUAUUGCUCCUGAUACUUUUCAAGGGAAAAGCAAGAACAGGCCUAAUUAUACAGAACCCUUUGACUUCUCAGGAAGUUAGGAGCUCUUUAAGGAGAGGUCUGUGGGCCCCAGACAGGCCACGUCGAUUCCAUCUGUGUCCCCACUCUAUGACUCCUCCAGAGGGCUUUCUUACCUAUCGACACACAGAUGGAGAGCCGACAGCAUCCUAAAAGCCCGCCACUAUGCCAAAGCCAAUAUAACGGGGAUUGUAUGCAAGCUGCCCCUUCGGGGAAGAUGAACCCAGACAAGCAAUUUGAGGACUCUACGUUGCCCCACUUCCCCUCACCUUCCCAAGAAAAGAUCAAUAAAGUAUCAUUUGGCACUGGCUAAUUCUUUCAACCCAUCAGGUUGAAACUGGCCUGUCCUUUUAUAAAUGAGCUGCUCCCUUGACCGUAUUGUGAGAAACAGAGGGAGGCUUGAGUCAAUGGGAAUUUAGUGAAAUCCUGCAGACGCACACCUCUUCACACUUACCGCUGGUGGAAAGAAGCCAGAUGGCCAUUAAUUAAUGACAGAAAUAAUUUAGAUCAGUCACGAAUCCGAAAUAAACCAGGCAGCCACGCAGUUGUGAACCAGAAAUAAUCUAGAAACAAAAGAGUGGGCCUAAUGAAGAUGCUUGUGAAGUCCAGGUACUGAGUAUGGUGUUUUCCUGACUCCAACAGCUGAAUCCUCAUGGAAAGAAAACUUAACAGGGCUUCCCAGGUGGCUCACUGGUAAAGAAUCUGCCUGCCAAUGCAGGAGACACAAGCUUGAUCCCUGGAGGAGGGAAUGGCAACCCACUCCAGUAUUCUUGCCUAGGAAAUCCUGUGGACAGAGGAGCCCAGCAGGCUACAGUGCAUGAAGUGGAAAAGAGUCGUGCAUGACUUAGAAACUAAACAGCAAUAACAACAUUUUUGCUAUUGGCAAAAGGUGUUUAAAAUGCUCUUAAAAUCAGGCAUAAAACAUUGUUAUGUCUAUAAA
This is a long non-coding RNA of Bos taurus (domestic cattle), 1176 nucleotides long. NCBI's taxonomy places the organism in Eukaryota, Metazoa, Chordata, Mammalia, Artiodactyla, Bovidae. The record is from Ensembl.